RNAcentral lists this long non-coding RNA (918 nucleotides) under Musa acuminata (dwarf banana). RNAcentral's name for it is "long non-coding RNA (MACU_LNC000143)". Lineage: Eukaryota; Viridiplantae; Streptophyta; Magnoliopsida; Zingiberales; Musaceae. The record is from RNAcentral.
GUCUUUCUUGCCAUCCUUUGCUUACCCUGUAAGGAUAAACUAAAUUCCAGCUGGUACGGCGACAAGACGGCCAAGUCCCCAUCAGUCUCACCGGUCAGGUUUCCUCCGACGGAGGCAGGGCAGGCUCAGUGAUGCACCUCCUCGCCGCCUACGAGUUGUGCCUGCUCCUACUGGUCGUCACACUGCUUCCGGUAGCGACUCCCAUGCCGCCCGUCGGGGCAGCGCUGCGCAACGUCGGACGACGCCCAUACAUUCCCAUACGGUCCGGUAUCCUCCUCUUUCUGUUCAUCUCCGGCAAGCUCCUUCGGGCUCUCGCGGUGGCUGGGAAAGAGGCAACCUCUGAAGUGCACCUCCUCGCCGCCUACGUGGUGUGGCUGCUCAUGCUGGUCGUCACGCUGAUGCCGGUGGUGAUUCCGAGGCCGCCGCUUGAGGGGAGGGUGGCCCUGCUGAUCCCUCCCGUCGUCGUUCGUGCAAGGGGAGCGCUACGCAACGUCGGACGACUCCCAUACAUUCCCAUACGGUUCGGUUUCCUCCUCUUUCUGUUCAUCUCCGGCGAACUCCGUCGGGCCAUAUGAGAAUGACAUGUUUGACUUCACCAUGAUAAUAUGUCGAUGGGAUGAUGACCGAUGGCGAGGUUUCGAUAUUUCUCCAUUUAUGUCACAAUCAUAGUAUCAUCAUGCUUGACAAUAAACUUCAAUUUCUAUAUAUAUUAAAUUGAUAUGUGUUGGUACUUUAUAUUUUAUAUUUAAUAUAAACUCCCCCUCACUUGUUUAUCAUAUUUUAUAUUUAAUAUUUUAUCCUGUCCUUUAUUUUAUCGAUCCAAAUAAGUUUUAGGUUUUCUGGAUAUUUUUUUCAUUUAUUUUUUAUGUUGCUGAUAUUGAUAUUAAAACAUGCAGGAGAGGUUCGUUUAUUUAUUGA